This 467-nucleotide ribosomal RNA is filed under the name uncultured bacterium. Its description in RNAcentral is "partial 16S ribosomal RNA". It matches the Rfam family "Bacterial small subunit ribosomal RNA", at positions 29 to 507 of the family's 1533-position model. The record is from RNAcentral.
ACGCACGCUGGCGGCGUGCUUAACACCUGCAAGUCGAACGGAAAGGCCCUGCUUUUGUGGGGUGCUCGAGUGGCGAACGGGGGAGUAACACGUGAGUAACCUGCCCUUGACUUUGGGAUAACUUCAGGAAACUGGGGCUAAUACCGGAUAGGAGCUCCUGCUGCAUGGUGGGGGUUGGAAAGUUUCGGCGGUUGGGGAUGGACUCGCGGCUUAUCAGCUUGUUGGUGGGGUAGUGGCUUACCAAGGCUUUGACGGGUAGCCGGCCUGAGAGGGUGACCGGCCACAUUGGGACUGAGAUACGGCCCAGACUCCUACGGGAGGCAGCAGUGGGGAAUAUUGCACAAUGGGCGGAAGCCUGAUGCAGCAACGCCGCGUGCGGGAUGACGGCCUUCGGGUUGUAAACCGCUUUCGCCUGUGACGAAGCGUGAGUGACGGUAAUGGGUAAAGAAGCACCGGCUAACUACGUG